GGACGCAUAGCUCAGUGGCAGAGUGUGGGCUUAGCACGUCCAGCCUGCCUGACGUUCUGGGUUCAAUCUCCAGUACAUCCA
Molecule: transfer RNA, 81 nt
Filed under: Camelus bactrianus (Bactrian camel)
Lineage: Eukaryota; Metazoa; Chordata; Mammalia; Artiodactyla; Camelidae
Also listed under: 2 other names
Rfam family: tRNA
About the family: Transfer RNA (tRNA) molecules are approximately 80 nucleotides in length. Their secondary structure includes four short double-helical elements and three loops (D, anti-codon, and T loops). Further hydrogen bonds mediate the characteristic L-shaped molecular structure. tRNAs have two regions of fundamental functional importance: the anti-codon, which is responsible for specific mRNA codon recognition, and the 3' end, to which the tRNAs corresponding amino acid is attached (by aminoacyl-tRNA synthetases). tRNAs cope with the degeneracy of the genetic code in two manners: having more than one tRNA (with a specific anti-codon) for a particular amino acid; and 'wobble' base-pairing, i.e. permitting non-standard base-pairing at the 3rd anti-codon position.
Source: Rfam by way of RNAcentral